This 514-nucleotide ribosomal RNA is filed under the name uncultured bacterium. RNAcentral's name for it is "bacterial SSU rRNA". It matches the Rfam family "Bacterial small subunit ribosomal RNA", at positions 45 to 518 of the family's 1533-position model. The record is from RNAcentral.
CACAUAAGACAUGCAAGUCGAACGGAAGUCGUUGUAAUGAUGUGACAUGAACAGAGAACUUGUUCAAAGGGAAUGGAGAUUGACUUACAACAAUGGCUUUAGUGGCGGACUGGUGAGUAACACGUAAGCAAUCUGCCUACAAGAGGGGAACAACAGUGAGAAAUCAUUGCUAAUACCGCAUAAGCUAACGCCUUCGCAUGAAGAAGUUAGAAAAGGAGUAAUCCGCUUGUAGAUGAGCUUGCGCCUGAUUAGCUAGUUGGUGUGGUAACGGCAUACCAAGGCAACGAUCAGUAGCUGUGCUGAGAGGCAAAACAGCCACAUUGGGACUGAGAUACGGCCCAGACUCCUACGGGAGGCAGCAGUCGGGAAUAUUGCACAAUGGGAAAGGAAACUCUGAUGCAGUGACGCCGCGUAUAGGAAGUAAGGUUUCGGAUUAGUAAACUUAUUUUAGACAGGGAAGAAAAAAGACGGUACCUGUAGAAUAAGCCCCGGCUAACUAUGUGCCAGCCGCCGC